GACGAACGCUGGCGGCGUGCUUAACACAUGCAAGUCGAACGGAAAGGCCCUGCUUGCAGGGUACUCGAUUGGCGAACGGUUGAGUAACACGUGGGUGAUCUGCCCUGCACUUCGGGAUAAGCCUGGGUAACUGGUUCUAAUACCGGAUAGGAGCCAUUUUUAGUUUGAUGGUUGGAAAGUUUUUUCGGUGUAGGAUGAGCUCGCGGCCUAUCAGCUUGUUGGUGGGGUAAUGGCCUACCAAGGCGGCGACGGGUAGCCGGCCUGAGAGGGUGGACGGCCACAUUGGGACUGAGAUACGGCCCAGACUCCUACGGGAGGCAGAAGUGGGGAAUAUGGCAAAAUGAGCGCAAGCGUGAUGCAGCGACGCCGCGGGGGGGAUGACGGCCUUCGGGUUGUAAACGCAUUUCGCUAGGGACGAAGCUUUUUGUGACGGUACCUAGAGAAGAAGCACCGGCUAACUACGUG
This 465-nucleotide ribosomal RNA is filed under the name uncultured bacterium. RNAcentral's name for it is "partial 16S ribosomal RNA". It matches the Rfam family "Bacterial small subunit ribosomal RNA", at positions 28 to 507 of the family's 1533-position model. The record is from RNAcentral.